This 497-nucleotide ribosomal RNA is filed under the name uncultured bacterium. Its description in RNAcentral is "partial 16S ribosomal RNA". It matches the Rfam family "Bacterial small subunit ribosomal RNA", at positions 28 to 507 of the family's 1533-position model. The record is from RNAcentral.
GAUGAACGCUGGCGGCGUGCCUAAUACAUGCAAGUCGAGCGAACGGACGAGAAGCUUGCUUCUCUGAUGUUAGCGGCGGACGGGUGAGUAACACGUGGAUAACCUACCUAUAAGACUGGGAUAACUUCGGGAAACCGGAGCUAAUACCGGAUAAUAUUUUGAACCGCAUGGUUCAAAAGUGAAAGACGGUCUUGCUGUCACUUAUAGAUGGAUCCGCGCUGCAUUAGCUAGUUGGUAAGGUAACGGCUUACCAAGGCAACGAUGCAUAGCCGACCUGAGAGGGUGAACGGCCAGACUGGAACUGAGACACGGUCCAGACUCCUACGGGAGGAAGCAGUAGGGAAUCUUACGCAAUGGGCGAAAGCCUGACGGAGCAACGCCGCGUGAGUGAUGAAGGUCUUCGGAUCGUAAAACUCUGUUAUUAGGGAAGAACAUAUGUGUAAGUAACUGUGAACAUCUUGACGGUACCUAAUCAGAAAGCCACGGCUAACUACGUG